RNAcentral lists this ribosomal RNA (250 nucleotides) under uncultured bacterium. Its description in RNAcentral is "partial 16S ribosomal RNA". It matches the Rfam family "Bacterial small subunit ribosomal RNA", at positions 779 to 1027 of the family's 1533-position model. The record is from RNAcentral.
UAGAUACCCUGGUAGUCCACGCCCUAAACGAUGCGAACUGGAUGUUGGGUGCAAUUUGGCACGCAGUAUCGAAGCUAACGCGUUAAGUUCGCCGCCUGGGGAGUACGGUCGCAAGACUGAAACUCAAAGGAAUAGACGGGGACCCGCACAAGCGGUGGAGCAUGUGGUUUAAUUCGAAGAUACACGAAGAACCUUACCUAGGCUUGACAUGUCGAGAACUUUCCAGAGAUGGAUGGGUGCCUUCGGGAAC